UACAGAGGUCUCAAGCGUUGUUCGGAUUCAUUGGGCGUAAAGGGCGCGUAGGCGGCCCUCUUAGUCGCGUGUGAAAGCCCCGGGCUCAACCUGGGAACGGCGCGCGAAACGGGAGGGCUGGAGUUCGGGAGAGGAGAGUGGAAUUCCCAGUGUAGAGGUGAAAUUCGUAGAUAUUGGGAAGAACACCGGUGGCGAAGGCGGCUCUCUGGACCGAGACUGACGCUGAGGCGCGAAAGCGUGGGGAGCAAACGGG
Molecule: ribosomal RNA, 253 nt
Filed under: uncultured bacterium
Lineage: Bacteria
Description: partial 16S ribosomal RNA
Rfam family: Bacterial small subunit ribosomal RNA
Source: RNAcentral